AUAAAUGAUGAACAACGGGUCUACUGAGGCUUGCCCGACGGGGUCGGCCUGUGAGGAACCGUUGGAGCACUGAUA
Methanolobus sp. T82-4 is the source of this 75-nucleotide non-coding RNA. Lineage: Archaea; Methanobacteriati; Methanobacteriota; Methanomicrobia; Methanosarcinales; Methanosarcinaceae. The record is from Rfam.